CACUUCAUACCUUCAAAGCUGAUUCAACAGUUGGUACUGUAGUCACCAGAAGAUCAUGAUGUUCCUGAAACAUAAUUAAAGCAUUUAAUACUGAGUUCUUGUCAGUCUUUGGUUUUAAAGAAUAAAGUAAUUUUUUUCCUUCACUAUUCUGUACAAAAUGCCCUAAGAUAAAGUCAAUAUAAUCCUGAAACACAUAAUAAAAGCUUAUGCUUAAAGAAAGAAGCUAAUAGCAGCAUUAUUACCAUGCCAGGAUGAGUUCUGAAUGAAGCAUAUUAAAGCAAGUUUAAAGUUGCUUAACACAUUUAGAUUCCUUUUAAUCUUUGACAGUAAGAUGACUAACAGGACAUGUGGUGUCACAAGGGCAACAAAGGUUUGCUGCUUAUAAGUUCAUUCAUAUUUUUUUGUUAAAACUUAUGUUGGGAGCUACGCAUAUGUGAACCUUCAACAUCCAAAGCGGUGGUUGGAACAGAUUAAAGCAAAUUUAAAGUUUCUUAACAUAAUUACGUUCCUUGUUAUCUUUGACAAGAUAACUAACAGGACAAUAUGGUGUCUCAGGAGCAACAUGGACUUGCCUCGGGUAACUUCAAUAUUUUUUCUCUUGUUAAGACUUAUGUCAGGAGCUAGACAUAUUCGAGGUUUCAACAUCCAAACUGGUAGCUCUUCCAACAUCAUUUUAAACUGGUUAUAUAAAAUAUAAAUAUCAAAAGUAGUUAAAAACUAAAAAGUAAUCAAAUUUCACUGAAACAGUAAUGCAAGUCUAUCAAAGCACCUGUUGACCACAGAAGCUUCUUCAUAACAUCUGCUCUUUUUCUGAAAAAAUAUGGCUAUACCUAGUGAAUGAGAGACGUACCUGCAAAGGAACACGCAUCUCUUGAACUCUUGAAGCAAAAAGACUUAGACUGACAGCCAACUCCAUUCCCUUUUUCUCUUCACCACCUAUAGCAGCUUCGUCAUGGAUAUCUCCCCUUGUCCACUCCACCAAUGGGUCCCAAACAAACACCUCCAACAACAUUAACAUUAUAUCUUUAUUCUUCCGGAGAAUGCUUAUUACCGCUUCACAGUUAGACCUGAAGGUACCCUCCGUUCCAGUCAAUCCUAAAGCAGUCUCAAUCGUCUGCGUAAGUCGGAAAGGGACAAUUUCAGGAACCUUUAGUCUCCUCCCUUUGUCAAAACAUACAUUAUAAUCUAUAUGGACAAUUUCACCAGUGGAGAAGUCCAUAAGGAUAUUGUCCAAAUGUCUAUCCCCGAGACCAAGAAUGUGGCCCACCAUGCUCAUGGCUGCCACACUUCCAGAGAACCUGCAAAUCAAUGCUACUCAUUUAAAUCCAUUAUUGUAAAGGUUACUUGAUUAUGAAUUAACUGAAAUAGCAGGCCUUAAGAUGCAAAGUCACCAAAGCCAACUGCAAGAAGUUCGGCAACAAUCUGAAUCACUAAAAGCUAAACAUUGUCUUUAUUAAGCCAAACAACAUUGUCAAAUGGACCAGCAUUGUUAGAUCAAAUGCCAAGUUAUACUCAAUCGUAAUCCAUAAUUACAGCAUUCCAGUCACCAAAGCAAAAGGUCUCUUCUGGAAUGGCUGGUAUGUAUAUGCCAGUAUUACUUAAGUGACAUGUCCAAAUGGGACAAAGUGUAGAAUUUUAGUUGCCCAUCAGCUGGCCUUUCAUUUAUACUGAAGUAACAAAGAAAGAAAUAUUAUCUCAACAAAAACAUGUUUAAUAUAUCAUUAAAUCCAAAGGAGCAACAUUAUACUGAAGAUCAUAGAACUAUACUAAAACAGCUAUCUAUAGAUUCAAAAUAUAUAAAUCCCCUAUAUAGUUUGUGUAAUUCUGAUAGCUUGCAGAAAAAAGAAAAACAUAUGGAGAGAAGAAUUCAGCUAUGUGCCUAAUAAGAGAAUUCAACAUUUAUAUGCUAUUUCAAGCUUGAAAGUGGUUAAUUUUGCCAUGAGAUGAUAGAUUGACCAUGCCACAAUUUUAAAACAACCUAGAAGAAAGAAUGCGAGGAAAUACAUAUAGAGUAUUAAAUGGCCACAAUGUCAAGCAUCUGCCAAUAGGUUACCGGCAAUUAUAAAUUCAAGAUUCAAUGCCCCAUAGACUACCAAUAGUCAGAAGAAAGCCAAGACCAGGGAGAUAACCAAACUGAGAUGCAGCACAAAAAAGGGCUAAUCCAUCAGCACAAAACUGGUCCCAGGGACAAAUUGAAGUUUGAGUCCAAAAACAUUACCAGGUAACACUUAAAGUAGUGAUCAUUUAGCACAAAGUUAUACUGCUGGAAUAUCGCCUAUGGGGUGAAAUCACUGUGCAUAAAUUUGUAAAACCAACUCACUUUAUUCACGGAUCAGAUUAUCGAAUGAAAAGAAAAUUUCAUGUAAUAAGACAAGCAUAUCUUUCAGGAUUUUGUCAAAUAUCUAAGCACUGAUCACAUAAACAGAUAUCCCCAUUAAUUCUGGGUAAGCAAGUUGGUUUAAAAUUUUAAUCAUUUUAUCCAGGACCACAACCUGCAUGUGUGCCACUAGCUUUCUAGAUUUUUUACUAGUCAGCUAAUAUUUCUGAAUAGAUCUACUGGUCAAUUGCCUACAAGGUGAGAUAUUGUGGUUACAGAAAACAUGAUAAAAAAUAUUUUGCACCAUAUUAUGGUUUGCAAGUAAAGAACAUUCUAACAAAAGAUUUAAUACCUUUUGGCCUUUAAAGUAAAUGCUCUGAAUCCCUCACUGGCACACCACAUUUCCUGCCAAAGAAGUUCUCUUGGAGUCUCUUUCAUAAGCUCCAAAAAAACUUUUCUUUUGACUUCAAGAGGCCAAUCCCUUCGUGAGAUUACUCUUCUUAUGCCUUUUUCUUUGAGUGCAGGUAUAAUUUUUCCAUAGAACAUAUCACUGGGACGAAGGACAGGUGGCAUUGGAUUAUUCAUAUUGCCAGCAUCAACUGCAGAAACCUGAGCCAUCUGAGUGUGUACCUGCCAUGACUUGUAGACACUGUAUAUGCUGGUUACAUUAUCCACCCACCGGAUUAAUCCAGCACGACCACUGAUUGGGGUCACUGAGUAAUAACGAAUAGCAAGUGCACGACCACGGGUAUCAUUGGAUGAAGUUAAUAAACUAUUAAUUGCUUGCAACAACUGCAUGAUUCGGGCAUCAAGACGUAGAUCCUCUCGUCCCUUAAGAAGAUAAGUGUACCUCUGACCAUCUGAGCCUUGUAAGAUGAGUUUCUUAGGUUUUGUCUUUGUUGAUAAAAUUGUUACCUGUUCACAGAAAGAGGAAAUUGUAACAAUCCCUUGGAUGCUAGUUGUAGAGCUUCCUGAGGAAUCAAGCAUUGAGAUUUGCUUCUCAAAGCCAGGCAUUGGAACAUCAGAAGAUGAAAGAGAAGCCAGAUGUGGAGCCACCUCACUUAAAGAUACACAUGAUUUUCGAUGAUGAGUUGCUAGAGAUGUUGUAAUAGUAUCAAACUGCCGCCACACAUCUCCUAGCGCUGUUGCAGAUUUAGGGGGAGUUUUUAAACUUAAGAUAGCUGAUUUCAGUUUUUCAAUGUACUCUUCAUGGAACCAUAACUCAUGAGAUGUUCUCGGUUCACGAGAUGUUGAUGUCAAGCGGCGCUCUAGUGCCACAACAAUUGGAGCCAUCAUAGCCGAGUAUUUGGCUGCAUUUAUCUUGUUCUUUUCUGUGUCACUAAGUGUUGGAUUUUCAGCAACCCGAGCCGCUUCCUCUUUUAGCAUAUUUAUACGUCGUAUGACAUCUAAGUUUACAAAACUAGUUAGCAACCACUCUUAGCUAUUACGCUAGGAAGUGCUCAAUAUCAGAAAGAAAACUGAGAUGAAUUACACCAAAGAAUAUAUGCAUUGAUGAUAGAUACCAAAAGAAAAAAUCAACAGCACUUAGAUUCCAUGUCUGAUUGUUUUUUUUCAACAUUUACGUUGUGUGCAUGUUUAUUUGACACAACACCGAUAAUCUUUAAGAUUCUUAAACUAACAUAGAAAAAAGAAGAAUUGCAAUCCUUUUUGGUGUCGAUCCAUUAUUUAGAUAUUGUAACAGUGAAAUUACAACUGUAAUUUUGAAAGACUUUUAAACUUCAAAUGAUGUCAAAACAAUCUCAAGUAACAUAUGCAUCGAAUGAAUGUGCUUCCACAUCGAAUACAUCAACUUCAUCAGCACUUAAGCUUUUCACAGUAUCUCUUUUCAACUCUUACAUCUUGUGUAUAUAUGCAUAUUUCAGUAUCACUAAGUCUCCUUUCUUCAAUAACACUAUAAAUUCAUGCAUCUAAAACCUAACUGAGCAAUAGCAUCCAACUCUGGUAUCAACUCAUUCAACUUGACCGUUAUGACACUAUACGAGCAAUAGAAAUUCAGAACCUCCUCCAACUUAUCAAGUGGCCAUUAUUCAAUUUGUUCACAGCAACAAUUACUUGAGCAAGCCCUAGUGAUAAAGAUCGGGCAAUUGAUUGCUUCAACACAAGAUAUCUAUUUGUCUCAUAGUGACUCUAAUAUUAUAUAUUGUAUGACUAAACUAGUUUUCAACCUUCUUGAGACUUGGUCAGGAAAAAAAAUUCACUGUAAAAGUUAGUCCAACAUUUCACAUGCAUUCUCCAUUUGACAAAAAUAAACUAGAAGAAGCACAAGAUAGAAGAUACAAGUAACAAAGUAAUUGAAAAAGUAUGUCACCAAGAAAUAUCAAUCCAUUUGCUGUUUCGUGGACCAUUUACCUGUAUGAAGAUCCUGAAGCGUGCUCAGCCAGAGCUCCUCCCAUAGAAUAGUUAUCAUUCCCAGCUCAUUUAUUACUAGCUGGACAUCUUGAAUUAAUUUUGGAUAAAGCUUAAACUGCAUUCAAAAGUAAAGUAGUUAAGAACUCAAAAAUUGGAAGCAAGACUUCAUCAAUUCCCUUAGUAUGUUAAGUAAACAACAAUCAUGCAUACACAUCAGGGAAAGGACAAAAAAAUAGUGUUAUUAAGAAAUUUGGAACCAACAGAUAAUUGUAAAGGUGGUUCAAUUACCAAACAGUCCAAUAUGCGUUGAAGCUCCUCUAGUGGUUGCCCGUCGUAAGCAUUUAGAUCAACAAGUGUAGGAUAUACAACAGACCAAGGGCAUAAUUUUGCUAGCAUCAAUAGAAGCCCCUCCAGUUGCUUCCUGACAACUUGUUUAGGAUGAGAACUCAACCGAGCAAAUAGCUGGGGAAUGAGUUCCUGUAUAUGAAAAUUAACAAUAAGUAAGCUUUUGAAAAUCAUGCAUAAAGACAAUAUACAAAUACUUUAAAGCAUCUCACCUGCCAUGGCAAUAGAGGAACUGCAGCAAGACCAUGUUCUAAAGUUUCUCUCAACUCGUAUCCAUAAUUCACAAUAAUAUGAAGGACAUACAGCAUUGCCCUAAGGGUGCAACUCUUGUUUUUUUCCUUUGGAAAAUCAUUAGCAGAACAGGCUAGAAGAUUGGAAGAAUAUGAAAGGUACUGAAAAUAGCCAUGUGCAGCAUGUCCGAAUAAUGAGACCCUCCUUUGCCUUAAUGACCACCAAAUGCCAACCAACUCAUCAACAAAAGGCAAGAUGUCAUGUUUCCUCAUGCCACCGUUUGUAUUAAGAAACAGCACUUGCAGCUGGGAAGAAACAGCAGCAGAAGGGCACUCACCAUCAUAAGACUCAAAUCCAGGUGAUCCAGCUGCAGUUUGCAUUAUGUAUGCUGCUUGCUCAACUAAUGAACUUACAAGUGGCUCAUUUUCCUGAAAAUAAAUGGACUCUGAUCUGUCUUCAUCUGCACCACUUGCAACAUUCACAUCUCUAUCACUGUUAAAAAUCUUCCUAAUUAUAAUUUCCACCUCAGACAUUUCAGCUUCUGUCAACUUGCAUCUCUCAGGAGAAAGUUCUGGACAAAGAACAGAGGACAGAGAACAGGAUUGUAGAACAGCACCACCCGCAGGAGGGGAGCCCUUUGCUUGGUCAAAACACCAAGAAGCAUAAGAGAGCCAGGUUUUACUCAAGGUGGGACAAAGAUUACAGGAUAUUUUUCUAGCUGUACCAAUUAUUUCUUCAAGAAUUUGAUUAUAGUCUGGAUCAGUGAUUAAGACACCAUCACCAGAAGUCAAUCCAGUUCCAGCAAAAGAAGUGCAUUUGCUACAGCCACUGAAAUCUUGGCGUAUCUUGAGAAGAACAUUUCUAAAAUCUAGAUUUGGAAAACCUUGUCUCAACCAGGUCGAUAAUUUCAAACAUGCCUUUGCCCUCAGAACACCAUCAGCUCCAGAUGAUAUAGUUGCCGUAGAUCGCAUAUUAUCACCUAUGAAUGACCAGCUGUCCAAUAUAGCCUCUUCAUGAUUUCCUUUUGCAUGCUUGAGUAGUAUAUCUUCAUAUUGCAUCUUCAAAGCAAGAAGAUCAGAAUGAGACCCUUCUGAAGUCAUCCGAAUGUGAUCUCUGAGGUAUUGACUCAAGCGGUCUGCCAACAUAAAGUUGUUCUGUUUGCGAGCCACAGUAAGCAGCUUCUGACAGAGAAGCAGAGUUGUUAAAGAAGUUGGCAUUAGAGUACGAUACACUCUAAAAACCUUAGUCCACAAGCUACAAUCUUGACAAACUCUACUAAUUGGAGUAAGCAGUACUUGUUGCAAGGAUCCUAGCAAUGAUGGUGAUCUUUUAGCUUGAUCAUGGUUACUUGAUCUUGUGCCUUCUUCAAAAGCAAGGAUGCAGUGAAGCUGGAUGGCACAAGCAGCUGCCUGAUGUAAUCCAUCAAGAGGUACAACAGACAAUGCUUCAUCCAGCAUCAACUUUGCUUUUUCCAGUUCUUCCCCGGCCUUGUGGAUGGAUCCAUCCCGCUUAAGCAUUAAUCGUAGAAGCAUUUGCUCACUCCUCUCUAGAGCAAUCUUAGGAUCAAGAGCAAUCUCACAGCUACUUUUAGGUGUCAAAUCCAGGUAGGACCGAGAUGCUUGAAAAUCCCCAAGAUCAUACCGAGCCAAGGCAUGAACAGCAUUUAUUUCAUUGCCAGCUGUCGUUAAAGCUCCAGAAUAAGACUUCCCAGCAUGCAUAGCACGAAGUGAUUGUAAUUCAGUGAGCCAGCUUUCCAGAGAAUUCCAAUCAGAGACCGAUGUAAAACACUCGAUGACACGUGCAAUAACAAACUGUACACCAUCAGAACCCAUGAGAGCUAGUGCAACUUCAGACUGAAGCAAGUGAGAAAAGUAAGCAGCUGCCUUUUCAUAUUGGCCCUGAGCCUGAUAGACAAGUCCUGCGAUCCAUGAAAAUUGCCCAAAGUUCCCAGCUACACCUGAAACAAUAUGUUUGUCUUCCUUAAACAGGACAGAAAAUUGUGUAGAAACCCAUUUCUGAAGGCCAAUCAAAGCCUCUGGUUCAUAAUUCCUGCAUAAGGCCAAGGAUGCAUGUCGGACAACCUUCAUAACAUCUCCUGCAAACCUAGAUCUGAGAUGGAAACUUUCAGAAACAGAUGCCCCACGAGCUUUUUCCUUGAAAACUGAUGUUGCUAAACUUUUUAGAUCCUGCAGCCGUAACAAACAGUACUGAAUGGUCGCAUCAUAGCAAUGCAAUGCCAGCCCAGCAUUCAUCAUAGGCUCGCAUAUUCGAGAAAACCACUCUUCACAAACUUUCUUAUUUGCUCGGAAGAACACGGAACUUUGUCGACUACAAGCAGGUAAAAUGAAAGAACCUUCAUAAGCAUUGUAAACAUUUUUCUUCAAAGCCUCAACAAAAUCCAGCAGCAAUCGCAUUGGUAACAAGUGAGAAUUGGACGAGGCUAUGUACUUACUGUCAGUUUGUUCAGCAUCUAAUAGAAGCACAUUAGGUAUGUCCAAAAGCAUGCGCUCUAAGGCUGCAAAAGUCUGGGUCGGACCACCGAGGUUAGUUCGCAGACGAAGAGCAAUGCAAUGUCUAGCAGCCUCAUGAAUGGACCACCAAACAGCAGCUAUAUUAUUCACUGGACAUAUUUUAUCAACUGCACAUUCCUCUGUCUUUCCACCCUUCCACAUGUCACCAUUACCAGGUUCUCCAACUAUUUCCUCUUUGCUAGAAAUUGAAUCCUUUUUGCAAUGGCAACUAAAGACUAAUCGCUGGAUCCAAGAAGAUAGAGGCACCUUCCACCUCUGUGAUAUGUAACUCAUGAUGGAAACAAGUUGAUGUGAGUGAAGCUUUCUGGAACACUGCUUUAAGGCAAGUUCAUUCUUCCAACUCAGGUAAUAGUUGUUGACAGUACAAUGUACAAACUCACAAAUACUACUAGCUCUGUCAUUCAGACCACGUGAAUACAUUGUUAAAGGCAACACAACAGAUAGUACUCUGGCAAAUGCAUUUUUUACAGUUACAUCUGGAUCACCAAGCUUAUCAAGUGCAACUUCUGAGACAAAAUUGAAGUAUGCAUGAUCAAUUAGCCUUGCCUGCAAAAGAGCUUCCAGAACAGAUGCAACACGAGAUCUCACCUUAGAUUCCCUCACAUAUGCUGCAUCAAAAAUUGCAACAAGUAAGUCACUGCCAACACCAGCAUCUGCAUGUGGAUCACAAAAUUGCAUCAUCAAGUCUGCAUCGCUCUCCAAAGUUGCAAUCAUCCAACCAAAUGAACAUAUCCAGUCAAGAGCUUCUAGCUUAACAGAUAUAGGUGAAUUAACCCCAAGUGCCCUAACUAUGCACAUAGCAUAUUUCCUUUUAUACUCAGUAAUUAGAUCAGUCUUAGCUUGAAGGCUUCUUUCACUUUUUCCAACUGAAUUAACAGAAACCUUCUCCCAAGAAGCUCUCAGAAUUGUGAACUUACUUAGAAGUUCAACCUCACUUAACCUGUUCAAUGUCUUAACAAUAAGGACUUGCAACUCAAACCAACCGUCGACAGGAGACUCAAAAGGAUGGAGCUUCUCUAAAAUCGAAGAUGCCAGUCUCAUUGAUCUAUCAUAUCUAAGCGAGUCAAUGACAACCUGGUCCUGCAAACUUUCAGCAGCACCGCAAGGAAUAGAACUUAGCAAUGCUUUUAAGUCAAACUUUAUUAAGGAAAUUAAUUCAUGUUCCGAAUAGGCCUUGCCAGAACCUAAAUCUAAUUUCAAUUGGUCAUCCGUCACAAAAUCCAACUGGAGCUCAUUGACAUUAGCAAAAUGCCCACGAAUUUUUCCAAGCAUGCCUUUUAACAACUCCAACUCUUCAAUCAAAUACGAAAUAGCUUGGGAAACAACAGCAUUGGACCCAUGUUGUAGAAAGAAAAGGUAAGUUGCUGCAGUGUUUGCAACUACAAGGUGAUUUGGAUGCAGACGCAGCUGAGACAAGGGAGAAUAAAAUCCUAAUACAGACCUUACAGAAGAAGGAUGGAGUGCCAGCUUCUGCCUAGAUAGCAGUUGCAAAUUAGUUUUAACCAAUGCAUUUAUCUGCAACGAUGGAAUUCCUAUCAAGUUUUGAAACAAAAUAUCAAUAACAAUUGGAUAUGAUUUAGAGAACCCUUCAUUAAGUAUUUCAGCCAGAAGUAUCAAGCAUCUCCAAGAUUCUCCCAUCCAUUUUGGCGACCCAGACUUCCUCCCAAAACUUGCUAUACAUUUCAGCAAACGGGGAGCCAUAUUCUCCAGGGGUUCUCUGACGUCUUCAAGUAUGUUCAUUUCCAUCAUUCCUGAUGCUGUGACUCGUAGUACUGUCGAGAAACAGAAGAAGAGAGCAAGCAACCUCCCAAGCUGGCUGCCAGAUUCAAGACUUGUAUCCUGGAUAAGAACUUCAAUGUCACCCAGAAACUUUGAGAGCAAUUCUAAUGAAAACUGUAAAUUGCUCAGCCAGUGCUUCUGGAAUUGCAAGAAACUAUCCAUAAUUAUCGUCCUACCAGACUCGGAGAGGUCGGGCAUGAAAGCCCAUCCCAGAAGCAAGUCAACAAUGUCAACAAAAUGCGGCUGGAAGCAAUGCCCAAAUUUCAAAGAAAUCAGGGUAAGAACGCUAAGAAGCUGAUGGAGCAAGCCAAGGGAGGUUCUCUCGUCCUCGAGAAGCUCUUGGCAUGCUUUGAGGAUUAGCGGUACAAAGCGUUCGAUGCUAUUAGCAUCGCCAACAUUAAGGAACUCUCGAAGGCUCUCCAAUGCCAAUUCCGCAGACCCAUUCUGAACAUCAGUCUCCCCAAGAAGAGGAAGAGCCCAAGCCAUGAAUCUCUCAGCCAAUGCCAAAACAUGAUUUUGGGGACCAUUCGAUCCAAUUGGAACGGAAACUAGAAUGGCACAAAGGGAUCCGUAGGUAAUCGCUGCUGCUCGCCUCACGGCAUAUGACCUACAAGGAAUCUUCCACAAGUAACAUAUAUUAUCAUAGUACUUUCGAAAUCGUGAAAAGGCACAAUCGUAAGUCUGCAAUUUUGGUGGAUACCAUUUGUUCGAUAGAGUGGAAUGCGAAAAUAACGAUAUCACUAAACGUUAUAGCAUAAAAUAGUUAGGGUUUAGAAUGAGAGAAUCUUUAGGGUUUUGGAGCGACACGAAGAGGGGGAGAGAGGGCUUACUUGUCAGAGAGAAGCUGGUAGAAGCCCUGGGAAAGGAAAGGGGAGGAGUGGGAGACGACGAAGGCAUUGGGAGGGUAGAGGAUGAUUCGUUGAAGGGAUUCUAGGGCCGCGAUUCGAGCGGCGUCGCCACCUCUCUCGCCUGGUCCUUCAGUCGCAGCCGGUGAGGAGGAAGGGGUGGACUCGGCGCUCCCGCCCGCGGCCGCGGCGGACGCGGAGGGCUGAGUAAGAGCGGCGGAGAGGAGAGCGGCUAGCUGUUGCUGGAGGUGGUGGAGGUGGCCUUGCAUCGCCGUCUCCGCCUCAAUAACUGAGUCCUACUUCGGACGUCUCCGUGUCUGCCUUCAUAAACCGGCGACGAGUCGAAAGCCGAGUCGAGACUCGAGACCACCGUCCAUGUUUUCAGAAACAAAAAAUGGGCAUACUUCCUCUGUUUUUGCUUUUAGAAUCAUAAUUGGUCGAUCGGACUCGAGGUUUGGUCAAACCUCUUAACCCCAUCCCUAAUACCGGCCGUGACCGAGAUGAAAGGACCCAAAUAAGCCCGAGACAGAACGAUCGGGUCGAAUCAGGUCCGGAUUGAACUCGAUCUAAACCCGUCAAUUCGACAUUAAGGGGUGCUAUCAUAUGCAUUGCAUCCACCUACGAUCCAAAUCACAUUCCAAACGCGGAUUCGGAUAAGUUUAGGAUUUCAAUUAAGAUAAUUGGAUGAUACCAGUGUUUGUACUAUAUUUUCUAUCAAAAUUUCAAUUAUUUGACUCCAUACACACCCUUAUAUCUUGAGCAUCAUCAUUAAUAUUAUAUUAUAUGUGUGUAACCCUCUAUGCUUAAUAUCGAGAGUCAUACAUAUAAAAACUUCUUCUUGUUCAGUGAAUUAUUAUUUUCAUAUUAAUUCACUUUAUUCAUCGACUAUCGACGUACUAAGCCACUACGUCACAAUCUCUGAAUGAUACAAAUGAAUUCAAUCAAUUGGACUUGUUUGUCCUCAAUUACUAUGUAUCUAUAAUCCGUCAGUCAUCUAAUAUCCCAGAGACUAUAUACUAGACAUGAAACUAUUAGACUCAUAUGGUUUAUACUCGAGUCUUGUUCUAAUUGGAUUAUUCCGAAGAACUUUUUCUCUCUCAAGUCUUAAGCAAAAACACAUGGGAUAUUUUUCUCAUGAUACAAAGAUAAGAUGAUCCUUGAUUAACACUUAAUAAUUAUCGUAAGAUUGAUUGUCACUAUUGAUAAUCGAUUGUGUUUGAUUUGAAACUUUCAAUCCUAUAAAUCUGGUACCUAUAUCAAACUUUGAUUUAACGGUGAACGAGUGGGUCAACCAUUCAAAACACACAUUUUAUAAAAUAGGUUGCGAUCUAUAUAAGAAUGAUUUAUUCAUGCAAUUAUCGUUAAAUCAUUUUGAAUAAAACAUAUGCAUCGAUGGUGAAGUAUUGCAAAACUAAAAAAAUUAUUUGUGUUUAUAAUUUAUUGAUAGAUAUAGAUUAAUUAAAAUGGUUAUUAUAAUGAAUCUUUAUAGAAAAAUUAGUAAGGCGAACAAAAAUGAAAUAAAUAAACGGUAAAGAAAACUUUUAUUAGGUAUUUCGCGGCGCAAAUAAUAUUUCCAUAAUGCAAAUACGUUUCCAUUAAAUAUUAUUUUUUCCUAAAACGAAAUCUUGACCGUCCAUGGAUCACGUAAUGAUCAAUUUAGCGCGUUGGAUCCAGUGAAUCCCCUCAUCAUCGCCGUCCAGUGCGUUCGCAGGCGAUUCAUGUUUCGGCGGAGACGGGGAAGAGGAAUCUUCUUUACGGGGAAGAAGUCGGGUCGGAGGUGGACCGGAAACGGCGAGCGGAUGGAGGAAGAGGAGGGUAACGAGUGUCCUCCCGAGAACCAAGAAAAGAAGCCGCGUGAAGGCGGAGGCGGCUGGGGCUUCUCCUCGUUCUCCAUUUUCUCGAAUCUCCAGAAGGCCGCCGAAGAGAUCUCCAUAAACGUUGGUGCUCUUCUACCGAUUAUCGUCGGUCUACUGUUGCAUCUCAAAUUUAGAUUCAAAGGAAAAAGAAGCGAAGAAUCGUAGUAAAAGGAUUGCUUUGUUCUUGUUCGGGAUCAGGCAGUUGAAGCCAUCAAGAACGCGGGCACCACCGACUUGCAGAGCAUGGACCCUGAUGCUGCGCAAGAGCAAGAGCGCAAAGGGGGAGAAGACGAAAGUGAGAACAAUAAACUUCGCAAGUCCGCGUUGGAUAGAUUGGAGAAAGCCAGUGACGAUUCUCUGUUCGGUCAGGUGAUUUACAAGUUAGAGGAUCCCCGCUGCAAUGGUUAUUCACAUGUGUCUCUUUCUUGGACGUUCCUUUUGUGGUGGCUCUUUCCGUGUAUUCACGUAUGGAAGGUUAUUAUAUGGGGCUUGUCUACUUGACAUCUUUGAUCUCAUGGUAUGUAGGGUCUCAAGGUAUUGGACAAUUCAGUGGAAACUUUUGCUUUCGGAGCAUGGAGUGCAUUGGGUAAUGCUUGGAAGGGGGGUUCGAGGCUGGUCGGUAGGUAUGGUGUUUCUUUUCCUCUACCUCCGUCGGUUGCGUAGGGCAAUUUACAGGAUCAAUUACAAGUAUAAACUCAAUGUUCCUUGAAGGAGAGAGAUCCUAAUUGGUUUUGAUGAGUUCAUCGCAAAUGAUACUAUGACACUUUCUGAUGACCCUUCUGAUUGGUGCAUGAGGUUGUUACAAAAUUAGUGGCGUUCCAUGCUGUAGCACAUUAUAAAGAAAUCGGAAAAGAGGCAUCAUAUCUAACUAGGGAAAAAAAGAUUUUAAUUUUGGCUACUAUUGUUUGAUGACCAAUUUACUUCAGUUAAACCGGCUUUAUUCUGCCUUUUGCUGGCACAACCUGAUAUUUUCCAUGCCCUUCACUUGGAGAGUGAAUGACUGCUGGCUUUGUGUGCAGCAUUUAUUGUCAGGAUGGUUGUAUUAAUUUUGUUUCUUGGUUAUACUGAGUUUAUCGAUGUGAACUUGUUGAUACUCCAACUUAUAUUUUCGGUUUUUCACUUGUAACCAUCCUUGAUUUUCAGGCUAGCCAGUUAUGUCCGUGAGUUGUUUUGAAGUUUUAUAAUGUGCCGUCUGAAUUCACAUAAAUAUCAUUAGUACAAUGCUUUCUAGAUGUUUAUUGUUUAUUAGUUUUUCAAUUCUGAGUAGUAUUUCAUAUAUUGUUCCACUUUGUUAUUUUCUAAGCAGGGAAACCGUUUGGACCUUUUACGUUGAUUUUCAGUCAGUUUAUCCACUUGACGUGAAGCUAUGUCUUUCAGGUUGGAGCAUUCUGCUGCAAAUCUUGCUGAUUCCAUGCAGCACGGAGACCUGCCUGGCAAAGCCACUUCUCUUGCUCCAUCAAUUAUUGAGGUAUCCUGUUAUGUUAACAAACACCAUAACAUGCAUCGAUAAUGUUUUCUUUAUGUAUCGGUCUCUGCAGAUGUGUGAUUUUGUUCUUUCUUUUCUGUGUAUUAGACUGGGAAGACUUUUACAACAAAGGGAAUGGAAGUCCUUGAGCGGGUUGGAAAAGAGACGAUGGACCUGCUCAUUGUUGAGACUGGUCUUGAAGUUGAGAAGGACCCCGUUAACCAACAAGCUGACGAAGAAGAGUUUGAGGAAGUAACGUUUGACAGGUGCUUUUACAUUUAUGGAGGUCCUGAUCUUCUUGAGGUACUACUCUAUCUUCCGUGAGUUUCUUUUCAGUGGUUUAUACUUGCAGUUGACUUUUCAUAAAUUUCAUUAAAUAUUUGGAUGCAGGAACUGGAAGCACUGUCAAGUCAUCAUGUUUUACUAUUUAACAGGCGAAAAACAAAACUUUUGGCAGAACAGAAAUCCCUCUAUAAUGCUAAACUGCUACAGGUCCAGAAAUUCUUCAGUCUGGGCACCAUCGCUGAAGAAAAUGGAGUUGAUCCAGAUAUAGGAAAUGUUAUUGAGACAACAGCUGGUGACAGUGAUACUGAGAUGAAAAGGUUAUGUGACUCGAGUGUCAAAAGGGCUGCUGACAUUGCUGCAGGGUAAUACAAAAGUCAAUAGGGAACUUAUUUAUCAUGUUGCUAACAAAUAGACCUGCUACUAUCUAAUGCUCUCAUUCUGGUUAACUGAUUCUUUGUUCUUUUUGCCUCUCUCGACUGCAGUUAAUACCCUGCGGCCUGCACAAUUGUCGAUUAUAACUUGUUGAAAGUAGCAUAGGAUUAUAACUUGUCGAUUAUAACUUGUUGAAAGUAGCAUAGCAUAGGAUUAUAACAUGAUAUCAGGAGUAUGUCACUAGCAAGGGAACUAGUUAAAUAUAGAAAUGACAAGGACAGGGUAUCAUCAUGUUUUUCUAAUUUUAUGGUACCUUGACUGAAUUGGAUGGUACAUAUGCAGCCAUAGAUUGAGAUGCAAAGUUGCAAGCUACAUUGGUUUGUACUUCGUACAGUGUACUAAUAGACACCCUGCAAGCCACGAUGUUGUUUUAAACCAUAUACUGGUUCAUUUCUUGAACUAGCCCAUUGGUUUGAAUUGUAACUAGCCGCUGAUUCUGAUAUUAGGGUUUGAUAAAACCACUGUUUUGGCAAUUUAGGACUCAGAAAGCUUUUCCACUGCAAAUUUGGUAGAGGGAUAAAAAAGAAAAAGGAAGAGAAGAGUUGAAGGAUAAGAAGAAGGGGAAGGAGAAGGAAGUUUUGGUUGCACACUCUUACCCUAUAACAAUUAGAUUCAGAUUUGUUUCUUUUCGAUCAUUCAGUUAGAAUUUAAUAUGGGAGAACUGAAUAGGAAACUAUAAAGAGCAAAAAUGAUGGUUUCAGUUAAACCUUAAUUUUGAUCAAUCAUCAUAAUGUGCCAUUAGUUAAUUCAAUAGAAUACCUCUAGCUACACUCUUAUGUUACGAACAUAUAUGAGAAGACGAUCUUCUUUGCAAUAUUUAAGCUUGCUUCCUAUAUGCUUUUUGUUUCGUUGUUUUUAAUUUUUAUUAAGUUGCUGUGUUGUCAAUAGAUUCUUUGCAAUUUAUACUGAUUCAUCUUUUGUUCUGUUUUAGCAUCAUCAUGUUUUUUGUUUCUUUAAAAAAUGAAACAUUAGUUUAAUCUGAAGCCGCUAUUAGUAUUAUGGUCCAUGCCACUAAUGUAUGGAUUCUAUAAAAUUAAAAUUUAUUUUUUCUGAUUAACAAAGGGAAUUUCUUCUGUACAGGUUCACAUCUUCUCUUGGGGGACUUACUGAAGAUGAUAUAAUUCAGCGAGCUACUGGCAGACUUGAGACAAUCCACUCAGAGUGUAUCCAUGUAUGCAGAUCAAAUGAGGAACUAUUUUUCUAUGGUACUCGUUUUAUGUUGUACUUAUCAAUUCAUUGCAUUUUGAAUGCAGAGAUUGUCAGAACUCUGUUGUUCUGCAAUAUCUCAACUUCUGGCUCUUGGAAAAUCAGUCAUUUCAAGUGCAAACAAAGCAAAGAAUGAAGAAAUAAGCGGUGAUUCUUUGAAGAUUGAUUGGCCUGAAGAUUCUGCCUUAAAAGCUAAGGUUAUAAGAUACAAGGCCCAGUCCAUGACUGGAGACAUGGAAACGGUUUCUAAUAGUUUUAUUACAGGUGAGUGAUUUAUGUGGGAGUUCAAGUUAGUUGUUUGCUGAACUUGGUGUAUGUGUUUCCUCCAGAGAACACUUGUUAGUAUUUGGCUUUUGCUACUUAGGUACCAAUAUUUUGAAGCUACCUAAAUAUAAAUUUUCUUGUUACUGUUUUCUGUAAUGAACAAAUGCUUUAAAAUACUAGUCUCUUUCAGAAUCAUUUGUUUUCUGAUAAAAUAAGUAACCAUCAGGACUAGUGUACGUCAUUCUGAUCUAUCCGUAAACUCAAUUUUUGAAUAUCAAUUUAUACAGUUGCAUGUGUGUUCUUAGUUGGGUAAAUCUGCUGUACUAUUAGCUCAGGGUGUGUGUGACAAUAAGUGAAUAAGAAACGAAACGUAGUUGGUAAUCGUUUUGGUAGUUUGGAUGAGUAAAAUACAGUCUUGAGAAGCAGAUUGUAUGCCAUUAGUUAUAGAUGUUGGUGCUAUCUAGCACCAAAAGUAUCACUAGCUUGUUCUAAUUUUCUUUUUUCCUAUCCUAUUUUGGACUAAAUAAGGCAGAUGUUUCCUGAUCUCCUUUAUGAAAUGAGAGAAGAGGAGAGUUACUGCACACCAUGAAAUUUGUCAUUGCCUGCAAAAAGAACAUUGAGAGGAGUGCUGUGAAAAUUUUUGACAUAUUUAUACAAUGGGUAUUUUUACUCCUUGUCAGACUCUUUGCUCGAACAACAAUGGCUGAUGAUGCCUGCAGAAUUUUCUGGUUAAGGCUGUUUCUGUCAUAUGUGGAAGCACUUGUUUGUUUCCAUUGUAAAAAAAGGGGAAUACAACAAAAGACUUGCACAUGCACCAGAUUUUUUUUUUAAUUUUCAAAUGCAGGCAGCAUUGUAUGUUACUUUUCCAACUUGUCUGGAUUUUCUAAUCAAAAUUGUGCAUAUUAUUAUUUCAGGAAUCUCAGACAUACUAGAAGCAUAUCUGACAGUCAUACAAAGUGUUUCUUCUGAUAAACAAGUGGGCCUCCCGCAUACUUCAGUUCAAGAAAAGGCAAAUGUUAUUACGAACCAUUUCCGAGCUGGCCAAACCAGUGCUGUGGAGAAGAUUCAGGAUGCUCUUCACUACCUGACAUAUGUGGUUCUCUCUACCUCCAUGCCAACUGUAUGAUAUUCAUGAACAAUGGAUAAUUUUUCUAAUUCAGUACGGUUCGCUCAUCAAGAUUGAAUUUAUUUGACUGCUUUAACCCUCAGCCAGCUGUGGAUUAUAUAUAUUUGCAAGGUUUUGUUUUCAUGUCAUUUAAAUAUCAUUGUAGCUUAUGUAGUGUUGUGCCAACACUUGAUCUUCUUGAUAUUUGUUUAUAACUAGUGUAAACAUAUGAUGAUCUUGAGACUGGUUUUUGUUUUGCAUUUCAAAGAUGGUGGUCCGUUUGACUAACCUGGCUGAACUGCCAGUUAUGAUGUUUGAUCUUUGCAUUUUGCAUCCAACAUGAGCUGUUGGUUUUCAUUGCACCAUGCAACAGAUGACUGGAAGCUCUAUGGCUUUUAUCACAUACAGUGAUACAGGCUAAGAAACAACAACUAAUUGUUUCCCAGAAGAUGAGAAUGCUGAUCAAAACUGCUGUUGGAGGUAAUUUUUGUUGUACUCAACUGGCUCCUUUAAUCAGUUCUGCAUCUGGAUAAAUGAAUGCUGCUUUCAGAUGUUGAUGUUUUAUGCUUACUGCCUUUUGUUUGGUGUUCUUUCCUUUUCAAAAAGGUUAAUAUAUGAUUCUGUGCUUAAGAUAUUCUUUACUGCUUUUAGUUUGCUGCUUUUUUAUUUCUAGACAGACAGUUAAUAUCCUGUUCUUUUUUUUAAGAUUCCUCAGCCUUUCUUAGCUUCUCCUCAGGUAAAAGAUUCCAAAUUUCUCAAUCUCCAAAUUUUAGCUCUUCCUUCUUAAAUUUUAGAAAAAGGGUUUGUGGAGACAGAAAUCAAGUGGAAUUAAUCAAGCUAUGACUUCAGAAACAAGCAUCCAUCACACAUAAUAAUACAUUAAAAGACAAACCUUGAGGAUGACAACAACAUACUUGUUGGACUUUAUGCCAUAUAUCAAAACUUUAGGAACCUAGUUAGGCUUAAAGAACUUGAGCUUUAGCCCACUGUUCACCAUGCUCCAAACACCUCCUGCAGAUAAGGCUAAGCUGAAAGCCAUGCCGAUGAUGCCAAGGCUCCAAUUAAGAUACCAGCUGAAGCUAAACCUCUGAGGCUUCUUUAUACCAAUCCACAUGAAACAAGGGUAAGCAAAGGUGACAGGGAGAGUGAGACCACCCAACAGGCCAGCCAAGCUAGAGAGGAAAGGCAGUGCUACCCCGAUGAAGAACGAGAUGAAACCGUAGAAGACUCGGAACCCAGAUCGGACCCAAAUCGAGCAGGGUCGAUUCGUUCGGCUGGUGUAACCUGCCUCGAAACUGUCGAACACAGGCAUGGAGUAUAUCUGGAAGCUACUGAGGCAAUUGAACACCACCAAGAGGAAUGUUGUUGCCAGAAGUCCCCUAGGGAUAUCAUGGCUGUGAAAGGCGUAAAGAGCAUUCAGUAUUCCUCCUGCUGGCAUCUGGAAGAUGUAACCAAAGUGUGAUCAUAUCAUACUAUACAAAAUCCUCGAAGGAAAAUACCAUCACAGAUUCUUCUAAACACAAUAUUGGCUAUGAUACUAUACUUACCAGGUUUCCGUAGGCCCAGAAGCCUCCAAUGGCGAUAGGGAAUAAACACAAGGCUAUAAGAAGAUAAGCAACCUUAGCUCCUCUCCACAUUGGAACAUGUGCAGGAUGUUUGAAGGUCGAUGGCAUUGUUGCCUGGAUAUCAAGUAACAGCAGAGUUCAUAAACCAAUCGAAAGUGGUGAAAGCUAACCAAAGCUCAGUUUGGCAUACUAAUAUUUGAGAUCAGGAGCUAAUACCUGAAUCUCUAGAGCAAGAUUGUGUCCUCUGAAAGCAAAUGCUAUUAUGCCGAGGGCAUUCAAGAUUGAAAAAGCUGUGGCACCGAAAGAAGUGGAUGCCAGGGGCUGAUAAGAGAUGGAAGGUGGCCUUUCUUGACUGACCGAGAGGACCCAGGCCAUGGUAGCAUAAGUGAUUGCUGUUACGGCUCCGAUAAGAGAGAGCCCAGCAAUGGAGUUGAGGUUUGGAAGCUGAGACAGGACAAUGCACAAUAUUGUGAAUACAAGAUACCACUCGACAGUUGAAAGCGGGUUUGAUGAACAAAGGGAUCCACAGACGAUCUGGAAAAAGAGCUUCAUUGUUUCCCCUCCGAUUAGAAUCAGUGCAGUCGCAGUUCCUGCUGAUAAGUAAACUGUUGGGAAUAAGGCGAGCCAAACGCCUAACCUUUCUCCUGAAGAAAAAGAUAAUUUACUUAUUAGCAGUGUGAAAACCAGAAACAUCGACUUUAGUACAUACACAAACAUUACGACAUCUCUAUACCUCUAGCAGACAUUUUUAUUCCCCAAGUAAGAAGAAGUUAGGCUUAUGAUAGAGAAAUACUCAAAUGUUCAUGGAUCCAAUUUGUGGCUCGCAAUAUAAUCUUAAUAUCAAUAAACAAAAUCUCCUUUAGUUGGCAUUUCAGAUAUUUCAUUUUGCAGGCCAUACUGCCAUCUUUUUCUCAAUAGGCUUCAGGUAAUUUAUGGCCUAGGCACAAUGUGAUAACCAUGAUAAAGAGAGCCCAUAUUUGCUGAAGAAGCUUCAACAAGCACCGAAAGGAAUGUGCUGCUAAAUGUCUCUUUAACAAGUAGGUAAACUUUAAUCGAAACUUCUGUUAGAAUUAACCACCUUUACACCACACACAACACUUUUGUAGACAAAGGUAGCGAUGUAUACAGCAUGUCAACAAUAUGAUUCUUCACUCUAUUAUAAUUUUUUUUUCCAAACAAAUAAUUCAAGAUUGAGCUGCUCAACAUAUUAUGGUACAAUGCAGAUCAAGAACUGCAACAAAUUGGGACUUCAUAUUUGAUAAAUGUGAUUCUUUCAAGACAAUUAUAAUCUCCGAAAAAGAAGUUUGUUCAUCUCCACCAUGUUUACAGGGAAAUGAACAUAAAUUUGGUUGUAAUAUGAGAUCAACAUGGUAAUAGGACAUCAAAAAAUUUCCCACAUAUCUGUAUGUGAUCUUAGCUAUGUUCAAUCCAUGAAGUCAAAAAGAAUGAAGGAGAAGAGCAGCCUCACCAAAUGCAGCCUGUGCAAGCUCCACAUAUCUAUUGUAUCUUCUGCCAGGCACAGCUUCAUGUAGCUUAACCAGAAUCCAGAGAGUGUAAAGUUGCCAAAAGUAAGCAAUGGUCAGAGCUAUCAUGCCCCAACUCCUGCAAUCCAAGUCAUCAAGCUUUAGAAUAGCAUACAAUGAAACAUGUGACACCCAUCUUAUUCUCUUCAACAAUGGCAUCUUCUGGUCAAGGACAGGAAUAAGAUUACAAGCUUGACCAGAAGGAAAGGUGAUGUUCUCUACAGAUCAAUGGAUGGUUAAUUCUCCAUGCAGAUGAACCAGUUUCCACCACAUUGUACCCAAUGCAUGCCAACGAUAUGCUAUAAUGUCGUACAAAGCAAGCAGUAAUGAGACCCAAAAGAGACAGCACAGUAUCAAGCGAGUAGAGCGGAAGAGAGGAGGAGAGAGAUGGUGACCAUCCGAGGAAAGCGAAGGCGACGGGGAGGAGGAGGGCCUGGAAGCCGAUGCCGGCAUUGAGGUUGUGGAAAGCGGCGUAGUGGGCGUUGCCGUUGCGGGACUCGGUGAUGGGGAGCCAGGCGUCCUGGGGGUUGAGCUUCGUCAGGUGGCCCACCUCCUCAAGGUAGCCGCGCAGGUUCACCAGCACGCGCUUCAUGGGCGUCCCCACCGUCGAAGAUAUCGACGGGCUCAGAAACCGCGGCGACACCAUCGCCGGCGUCGGAGUCCACGACUUAACCGAGUUGGCCCCGGCUGCAGGUGCGCCGCCGCCGGGUCCAGGAGGCCGCGGCGACCGCUGGCCGGUCGGGGUCACCGUCUCCGGCGUCGAGACCCCCCGCGGGGUCGCCGGGAUCGAGACCAGCUCCGCUUCCAGCCCGGGCGCCGCCCCCGUUCCUCUUUCCUCCAUCGGUGAGCUGCGUGAGUGAGCGUGCGAGAAGGCAGCGGCAGUCCAUUUUUAUUGCUUUUUCUUCCAAUUUUUUACUACAUUAUAAAAUGACCAACCUGUCCCUCUAACAACCAGUGAAUCAAUCUUAAUGUCCACAUGACCGCAUUGGAUUCCCCAUUCCACGUUAUCUAAAGAAACAAAACGGGUAGCAGCUCGUCGGAUCGAAAUCGGGCUCGAUCGAAUCCGGUUUGGGUCAGCAAUCAUCGGAAUCAAACCGAUACGAUUCCAAGUUCGAUGCGACGAGAAGAACCAGUCUCGAAUUAAACCUCUUAUCGGGUUCGGGUACGGGUUAGACGGAAACAAUCCAAACAGGUCGAACGAUACAUCGGAGGGCUAAAGCGUAAUUUCGAGCCACAAUUAUUUGUACUAAAAGGAGGUCGACGGGCACGAGGAGGGUCCGAUCGCCACGGUUGGUGUGCAGCGAAAUGCCGAUAAAGCCCUUCGGAAGCUGCCAAAACGCGCCAACAAAGAUCCGCAGGAUAAGGUUACCAUGGUAAUUUCGCCCACACUGCAAGAGUCCCUUCUCCGAAAGAGUGUGCGACCGUGAAGAAAGAGAAGAAACCCAAGGCGUCGUUGAAAGCAUCACCUGCCCGUCUUCUGUCUCUCUCUCUCUCUCUCUCAUCUUUUUCCAGCUGCAGUGUGAUUAUCUAAAUCCGAAGCACUUUCUUGGGCCGUCUUCCUUCCUCCCUCCCUCCCUCUCACUCUCACUCUCACUCGCUCUCCAUCCAUCUCUAUCUCUUCUUUUGCUGCACAGCAAUUAUCUAUUGCUGAACACUACUUUUGAUGACUUUGGGACCAAAGCUGUCGUACGCAUGGAGCUGUAAUUAAAUGGACGAAGUAACUGUUAUCUGUAAGCACCGGUGGGGACUCAUCAAUCGCUAGACUGGAACAGUGAAGACACUGCACAUCCUGCGCAAAGCAGCAACACAACGUAACGCAUCUCACAGCCUCUAAACUACUAAUAUAUAUUCCCAGUUAUCGGAACAUUGAUCAUGACACUCGAUCAUCAUAUCCUCCUGGUAAAAGCCACAUCGAAUGGUAUAACAGCUGCUGUGAACAUGAUGAAACCAAAUGCAAGCUCCGAAACCAAAGUUGCCCCACCUGCCAAGAUCGUGACAUCUUGCUGAAACAUGGAACCGAGCUCUCCGAGGAGAGCCCACCUGCCGACCAAGCCAAGGAGAAGAGAAUAAGAAUCUAGUGCAAUCAUGUCUCCCUGUGAGAAGAGACCAUGUACUUCAUCCUAAUCUCCAUCGAUCUAAGUAAGACCAAGCUUAUGUCGCUCGGGCAUGUCGUAGCUUAAGAUCAUGCUAAUCCGUGUAACUCGAGAUGAUAAACCAGCUGAGAUAGCCGAAGAAGACAGCUUCAGGAUGAAGCCAAGCAUUCAGGGACCAGCGGAGCGCUGCAGAAAAGAUUCGAGCACCAAACAUGUCACUUGUUGUGGUCUCUUCAAGUCGUUGAACCAUCUCGCCCAUUUCCUCAGGAUUGGGACAAGACCUUCGUGCUCCAUCUAACUUGUCCACUACCACCUUUAACCUGUUGUCGUUCUUGAGAUUUCACGUUGAUGAUAGGGAGCAGAAUGGUUAGGACUCCAGGAUCGGUCCCUGUCAAAUCAUUGCUGUGAGUUUCGAUUCGAUCAUAAUUGCUUAAAGUUUGAAUUCGAUUCGAUACGUGAUAGAUCACAAAUUUGAGUUCAUAUAUGAACGUCAUGUAUAUCAUUUAAAUAUAAAUAUUUUUCUAAAAAAUAUUGAGUGUUAUUUUUAGCUCUAUAGUCGCAUUGAAUAAGAAUCUAAUGAGUAUAUUAUUAUGUUGAACAUGAAACUAUCACAAUUUAGCUGAGUUACAUUAAUAAUUUACGAAGACUAAGUAGACAAAGAUUUGGAUCGUCGUCGUAAACGUGUGAGACGUGUCAGUAUAUUGGAUCGAUAAAGAUUUGGAUCGACGUAAACACGUGAAAAUAUCUUAUAAUAAUUAACUUAGGCUUAAAUAUUUUUGGAUUAGCAAUUCAAAUUCAAUGAAAUUAAUGAUCAAUUAGAUUUAAAUAUUUAACCAAACAAAUUGAGAAUAAUAUCUCGAGAGCUAUCGCUCCUCUCUCUCUCUCUCUCUCCUUCCAUAGUCAAUUUUUCUUUUGUCUUCUGCAUCGGCAAAACGCCACCUUAACCUUCAGGCAAUCUCAGACCUUCCAUCCUCUUUUCUCACACUCCAAUAGAACAAUUCCCUCGUUAUCCAUUAGUUAGCCACUCCCGUAUGUCUUCUUCUUCCAAGCACCUCGUCGAUCCUCAUAUGCAGAAGAAAAGGAGCGUCGUCUGUUGAUAUACAGCCACUCGUCUUCUCUCUUCCUACCUAAAGCUUCUCUCGUAGCAUAUGCUCAACCAGCCGGCGAUCGGAGAUCGAUGUCGACGCAGCAAGUUUGCUACGUUCACUGCAGCUUCUGCAACACAAUCCUCGUGGUAAAAGCCGCAGCCAUCUUCCUUCUCUUCCUGCCAAUUCGAUCUGGUCUCUACUUGUUCAAGAAGGAUGUUCAUAAGCGUUGAUAGCUCCAACUUUGGUCAAAUUUCCCUUUUCUAAGACUAUUUUUCAUGAACAUUAGCUUUAAAUAUACUGAGAGAAGAAUAUUAGGUUACAUGACCGAUCUGAUGUAUCUGCUCAUGUUCUUGAAGGUCUCUUAGAUGAUAAUUUUCUCUGUCUUGAAACCCUAAUCUGCAUUGGCAUGGCUAUGAACAUAUAUAGAGAGACGCGCCUUUAGAUUUCAGUAUCAUGAAACAUUAGAAGUGAGUUGAACUAUGGCUUCAGAAGCAGCAAAUGUUUGGGAUUCCUACAGAUCUAAUUCCCCCAACACCUCGGAGAAGUCCGAGCUUCAUGCAUGUGAACCCAACUAAAGGACGCGAAGAUCCAGCCAACGUUUCUUGAUGCUUUGGUGUCGUUCAAAUGCUACUGUUUCUUCUCCCCUAGCUUUCCUUUUUUGUGUGUUCGUUCGGACACAAUAAGUUCAUCAUUCAUAUCUAUCGCAAAGAAUGUACAGCUUCACGUAGAUAGAUGUGAAGAUCUAUUAGUCUGCCGUACGUGUGUCAUCGCAUCAUCUCUCCAUUGUUUUCUUGGGAGCAACGAGGCCCGAAAGCAUACUGCAAAGAUAAAAACACGUUUAUUUUGUUGCUUGCAACGUGGAGCUUCUUUCAUGUCAGGAAGCUCCUCGGGAAGAGAGAGAACAAGAGUUCAGAUAGAAACUUUGGAGGAUUCUCGGGGGAGAUUUCUGUAAGAACUGAGAAAAGAAGUCACAAAGAGUCUUUCUCCUCAGCUUCAAGUUCUUGAUAUUGGAUAAUUAUUUUGAUUCGUUAGUCUCUACGCUAACAUCUUUCCAUAAACUUCUCGCUAAGAUUUGCUAGGUUAGAUUCUGUGCCUAUAGAUAGAUGAAAUAUAGCUGAGUUCAUGAGCUAUUUAUGUGAAAUCAUAGUUCCUUAUUAUUCUGAGAUUUCUUUUCUCUACCUAUAACUCCAUUUUUGUUUUCCUUGUUGAUAUUCUAACUACAGGUCAAUAUUCCAUGCAACAACUUGUUCGACAAUGUGACAGUACAAUGUGAGAACUGUGCGAAUAUGUUGUCUGUCAAUUUUGGUGCUCAGUUUCAGAGACUCCCUCUCCAAGAUGUUCAGGUUCUACACUUUUUGUUAUGAUUCGAACAUAUAUAUAUUUGAUCUGUUUCUGUGAAUGCUGCUGUCUGAGAUUAGAACUCGGAACAGAAAGACAGCAGCACAGUAUAAUCUUCAUCAACUGAGGUCAUGACUUGUUGGCAGCAUCACAGUAUAGGAUCUCAAGGACUCCACAGGGAUUGUGGAUCUUCUUCCUCCAAAUGCGCCGGGAUAGAUACGAUGAACUCGACGAAGAGCAUCAAGCAACAAAUGCUUCGAGUUCGCAGUAAGCCUCGUGCAUCAUUCCUCAGAAACACGAAUCUGACACUCAAUACUCCCCACAAAAUCAAGAUUUUGAUGUGUUUGAUUUGUUGGUUUCUCAUUUCCUUUCGCUUCUUCUCUGUACGAUCUAUGUGGCGCUCAAUGCAGCAGCAGCAGCAGCUGGGAAAAGACGUCGUGUGCCUUCUGUGUACAAUAGAUUUAUCAAGUGAGUGCUUCAAACUUUGGCUUCGAUCUUUGGUUUGAUUGUGCCAACUGAUAAGGACAGACUACUUUUAACUCUGACAUGUACCGCAUGUCACUUUGCUGUUCCUCUUUUGCCCACAGAGAAGAGAUAAGAAGAUUAAAAGCAAGAAAUCCUGACAUUAGCCAUAGGGAAGCUUUCAGCACUGCAGCAAAAAAUGUAAGAAGUUCUUCAUGUUCUGAGAUCACUCGGCUUUUAGGAAAGAACGAUGACAACAUAUUAAGAUAGCUACUAUGCUGAAACUACAUUUUUCCUGCGAAUGAAAUCGACCUAAAAUGCAUACUAUUCGAUCAAUAUCAGAGAUUUCUGCUUUUCUUUUAGUGCAACUUUCUACCGUACUCUUUCUGAUAAGUUUCUCGAGAAAAGAAAAGCGUAUGUAGCAAUCCGAUUGCUUACUCUGUGUUCUUUGCAGUGGGCACACUUGCCUCGCAUUCAUUUCGGGCAGUCUGUCGAGGGGAAUCAACAGUUGUGGUGAUACAAUGAUUGCUGUCAAACACAAAGGGAUGGCAGUCACUGUUUGUGUGGCUUCUCACGAAGAACAUGCAAUUAUCAGUUUGCAAUGGGAUUUAGACCGACAAAACAUUCAGAGUGAAAAGUAAUCUGAGGCAAUACUUUAUAUCUUUCCAUACUUUUUCUAAGCUUCAAAAUCUAUAAUUUAUGCUGUUGAUUGUGUAUAUAGCUUUUUUACAUCCAUAUCAUCUCUUCCAUCACUAAAUUAAGAGUACUGGCCACAGCAUGAUUUGAUUGACCUCAACUAUUACCCAUCUUGAUUUGGUUCGUGGUUGUCAAACCUCUAUUCUGUUGACGAAAUCUUAUUCUGUUGAGAAAAUUUUUUCCUCAUCUGUAUAACUAGGAAAGGGAUAUAUUAAUAUAUUCAAGCUAAAACUUCUUCAAUAAUUUUUCUUAUUUUCUAUUCUUUCCAACAUAGUAUCAGAGCGGGUGAGACGAGCAAGGCUCCACGGCCAUCACACCACAUCCCUUGCCUCUACAGAGCAAAAAAGGGGGAAACUCUUUCAUUUGCUACAGCCUCUACUGUAAAUUCCUUCUCUACUAUAGCUUCUUCUUUUGUUGUAGCCGUCGCCAUCGUCGUUGUCGUAGCCACAACAAUAGUGCUCCAUUUGUACCAUAAUUGUAUCAAAUCAAUAUAUAUUCGAGUCGUAUUCUCUCCUAAAUUAAGAAUUAAAAAAAAAAUAUAUAAAAAUAUAUGAAAAGAAAAUUAUGAUUUUAAUAUUAAAUUAAAUAUUUACAUUAGUUAAUAAUUGAAGGUUGAAUGUGUUAGAUACUUUGACAAAUUACUAUAAAUCUUCUUAGUCGAAUCCUAUCUUCGUUAUUUACCCUUUGUAAAAAAAAUUACAAUUAAUACUAUAAAAAUAGUACGCUAUUGAAUGGUUAGUAUGAUUUAAAUGUGAGUAAGAAGAGAGAGAGACAAAGAGAAUCUAUGAUUCGAAUUCGAAUUCAAAUUUAAUUUCAUGGGUCAAAUCUAUGAUUAAGACAUCUAAAAAUUCCUCAUUGCAUAAAUAAUCGAAUGAUAUCAUGCCAAAUUCGUGACCUGAGUUCUCAAAAAAUGGUACUUCUCUCUCAUCUUCAAAUCAACUAACUAUCUAAAACCCAUCAAACUACACUUUGAUCUGAUCCAUACCCUAAAAUAUAACACAAAAUAUACAUUAUAUUGUCAUAUAUUUUUAUUUCUAUUAUUAUUAUUAUUAUUAUUAUUAUUAUUAUUAUUAUUAUUAUUAUUAUUAUUAUUAUUAUUAUUAUUAUUAUUAUUAUUCAUCGUCAUCAUUUAUGUCGCCGGUCCCAAGCGAACCGACCAACGCCCUCCAACUACUCCGCAUCAAUAAAUAAUGGCGGAGAGGACACGACGACAGAAUUCGAAAGCGUCGAUCGCUGAAGCCCGUACCCGGAGCCUCCACCGCCAACGGAUUACGAGCCUGAGGAGAGCAAGACCCGCCGAUGGGGCCGUCGGCCGUCGUCCUCGCUGGAUUAGUCAUCGCCGCAGCGGUCUACUGCGGGUUGGACCCUCUCGGCCACAGCCCAAUGGUGAAGUUCCCCGGCUUCGAGACGCACCCGGUCGAGCUGCUGCCAUGGUCGGAGUUCCCCGCCGUGCGGGACCCGGAGGAUCGGCUCCGGGGAGCGGAGGUCAGGUUCCUUAACCAGGUGCAGGGCCCGGAGAGCAUCGCCUUCGACCCGCGGGGUCGCGGGCCCUACACCGGCGUCGCCGAUGGCCGGGUGCUCUUCUGGAACGGGGAGUCGUGGGUUGACUUCGCCUACACUUCCCCCAACAGGUAGGUUCGGUUUUCGAUUUCGCUUGGUGCUUUUUGAUGUCUUCCUACUUUACAAUGAGUAGUAGAAAGUAUGCCUUUCGAGAGAUUUGGAUUCUAUGCUUGCAAGUAACGAGGAAGGACACUUCAGUCUCGACGUGGACCAGACUCUCUCUCUCUCUCUCUCUCUCUCUCUCUCCUUCCUCUUUGCAUCUCCUUUCUAUUCGUUGUAUUGACGAAUAGAAAAGAGAUGCACAGAGGAAAUUCUGGCUACAUCGUUUGACCUACCGUUGAUCUCCAGACGCAAAAUAUGUAAUCUUUUUUGCUGAUGGCUUUGAUUCUAAUGCUUAGACAUAGCGACACAGUAAAUAUCGACUUUUUUCUUAGUUUUGUUGGUCGAGGCCAAAUUGAUGUGCUCCUGAUUGCAAUGAAGCUAUUGUUACCCAUACGAAGUAACAAUUUUACUACUUCAUGUCUUCUUUCUCGACUGGAAAUUACCAGAAGUAGUUCUAUUGGUUUACUGAAACAAGAAAUAUUAGCAAAAGUAGACAAUUUCUUGAAAAAAAGAAGGAUUAUAGUUUUAGAUCAUUUUGUGAACAACAGGAAGGGUUGUAUUUUGCAGAUGGUAUGGUUUACAUGAGGUUUAGUUAUUAAGUUUGUACCUAUUGCCUCUUAUAAGCAAUCUGUAUGGUGUCCACACAAUUUCUCGAUAACCUGUUUCUAGGAGAAUUCAGAGAUUUAACAAACGAUAUCCAUUUUGGACUCCGGGGUCACUGCAUAAGAAAUGAAUGUCUGGAUUGAACGAUCUGCUUGGCUAGGACUGUCUAUCCGUGAAGCAGACUUGUACAUUGCAUCAUUUUCCAUACAAACAGAAGAUAGAUAUCUCUCUGCAAAAUGUGGUAGCCUUUUAUAGUUUUAGCCUGAAAACUUUGUUGAUUGUUCUCAUUGUUUGUUGAUUGUAGGUCAGAAAUAUGUAACCUGAAUCCGUCACUUUUUAGUUACUUGAAGAAUGAACAUAUCUGUGGACGACCAUUAGGUCUUCGAUUCGAUAAAAGGACCGGAGACCUGUACAUUGCUGAUGCCUAUUUUGGCUUGCUCAAAGUAGGCCCGCAAGGUGGCCUGGCUGCACCACUAACCACAGAAGCAGAAGGAGUGCCAUUUAAUUUCACGAAUGACUUGGACAUAGAUGAGGAAGGUAAUGUUUAUUUCACAGACAGCAGCACUAACUACCAGAGGAGGUACCUUUCUUCAAACUUCUAACACUUCAUUUACUUAGUAUUAGCAUCCAUUCGAAGUGGAAUCACACUGCAUUGGUGCUUGAUGUUCAGAUUAUAAAUCAGGAUCACCGAAUUAUAGCGUAAACGUGUUUAACCACGGAUAAUCUAGUCAAUUUAGUUUUAUUCAUUUUAUUUGUAGCUGGAUUUUGUUGUUUUUUUCCCUUAUGUUUUAGCAUUCAACUCUGGUCAGUCUUUUCAUCUCAAUGUCUUUGUUUAAGCGCUUAUAUAUCAGCAUGUAACUCCCAACUGACAUCAGAAUUUUCUUUGAGUUUAUUUUUGGAUAAAAUCUGGAGGGAAGUCCCAUUAUGGAGAUUGAAAUGAUUCAUUAGAGUAUAAUUGAAGUAAAAUUAAAACAAAAGUAAAAACAUAAACAAAAGAGAAAAAGAACUGGACAGACACUAUGGACCACUCACAGCAUUGAGGUCAAGAGAUACUGUUGAAUUCUUUGCAAUUGUUGCUUUCAGCAUGGAAGUUUCAUCUGUUCAGCUCUAUCCAAAGAAUCCAUCACCAUACUCCUGAUCCCUGCAUGUUUGACUGAAGUUCAUUCUAAAUCUGGUUUGGUAUGCAUGAGGAACAGAUUCCUUUAUUCAAGCACUAAAUUAGGAAUCUUCUCAAUGAUGUUGAGAAAUAAUGGUCUUUCAUAUCCAACUUCUAGUGGCACCUUGCUGUUUGUUUAUACCAUAGUGGCUGUGCAAAUUAACACAAUUACUGAUGACUCCCUUCCCACACCUUUAGUAACAAAUGUUUGCCUGUUAUCAUGCUUCAUAUUCUUAUCUUCCAUUACCUAAAUCACACAUCCCACUUUUUACAUAGGACAAAAAAUUGGGAGAACAGAUAUAAUCAUUUAGUGAGUGCAUCUCUUGUGCUGUCUGGUAAGGUAUCUAGGCAAUCUCUAUUGGAUUUAUAGUUUUGAGAUUCAUUAAGCAGAUAUUUACAGAUUUUACACGACUGCAAAGUUACAGAGAUAAACAAGUAGAAAAGUAGUUAUGCAAAACAAGAUAUUGUAGUGCUAUAACAGCUUUAAUGAAACAUCAAUGAGAUGAUAGUGGCAUGUAGUAGUUGCUUUUGAGUUUUGAAGAGCAUGGGCCUCAGUAUUACAGUAAGGUUUCUUGCCUUGUAGGCAUCAUUGGCUCUAGACACAGAAAUGAACUUCCUCGCUUGGAAAGCUGAGCUCAGCAUCGGCUCUACAUCACUGAAUUACCAUUUUCAUAAUGGUUGAUUUAGGUGUAUUACUUAACAUAUUGACCUCUAAAUAUGUGAACCGGUUCUGAGCAUUACUACUACACAUUAACACCUUUUGACAGACAGUAUGCAUUAGUGUACACUGUAUAACAUCGGAUUUGGUUAGUCCUUACCGAAAACGAUCUUCCUUAUUUUGAUGUUUAGCAUUCUUUUCAACUAGUGGAGGGGUUUUGCUUUCUCAUUUCUGUCAUCAACUAUUAAAUGCUAGUUAAUGGAAUCCCCUCCUAAGGUAAAUAUGAAAUAAGCAAACACCAUUAUGUUAUGAUCUACAAUUUGGUCCCAGUUUUUAUGAAUUAAAAUGAAAAGGCAAUCAUUCUUUCCUCCACAGGGAAAUAAUAAUUUUAUGAUCAUCGUAUGUUUUUACGUUCCAUAAAAAGAUAGAAAAAGCAGUUAUUCUUUCCUUCGUAAUCCAAGUCCCAAAUUUACUAGUUCAAUGCGAAAAUAACUGUUAUUUGUCUUCCACCACCGGUGAAUAUGAAUCAGUGAAUGGUUAUGUGCUAUUCUUUCUUGCAAUGAUGUCUGCUCUGUGGAACUGUUCUGUUGCUUGCUCUAGUGAAUUUCUAUACAUACUUGCAUGGCAUAGCUACAUAAUUAGAGAAAAUAUGUCAGUUUGUUCUAGACAUAUAUCGACAUGCUAGGCUUCACUUUCUGUCAGGAUUUAUUUGUUCAAAAUUAUUUAAAAGCAGAAAAGAUAAACUUUGUAUGUGCUUUCAGGAACUUCAUGCAACUAAUAUUUUCUGGAGAACCUUCUGGUAGGCUUUUAAAAUACAACCCGGUUACAAAAGAAACAAUUGUCCUUCAUCGGGGCCUUCAAUUCCCCAAUGGUGUGACGCUAAGCAAGGAUGGAUCAUUCCUUUUGUUCUGUGAAGGAUCACGUCUCAGGUUGGUCUCCACAUCUUCUUAUUCACCAUUUCCUUGUGUAAAUUGAAUCAGACAAGCAUGCACUUGCAAGUGUAGGUUGAAUAGACACUGGCUGAAGGGAGAAAAGGCAGGAACAUUGGAUGUUUUUGCAUACCUCCCUGGAUUCCCGGAUAAUGUGAGGACUAAUGAGAAGGGUGAAUUCUGGGUGGCGAUUCAUUGUCGUCAUUCUACAUAUGCACAUCUUAUGGCUGAUCAUAGCAAGUUGAGGAAAUUUUUUCUGAAGCUCCCUAUUCCGGUCAAAUAUCACUAUUUUAUGCUGGUUGGAGGCAGACUUCAUGCGUUGAUCAUUAAGUACGGCCCGAAUGGGGAUCUACUGGAGACUUUGGAGGACAAGGAAGGCAAGGUGGUUAAAGCAGUCAGCGAAGUGGAGGAGAAGGAUGGGAAGCUUUGGAUAGGGUCUGUUUUGAUGUCUUUUAUUGCUGUGUACUGAUCAUAUCCCAGACACAUGUACUCGACAUCACAUAGCACCUUCCCUUAAUUCUACAUGAAUUGCAGAACAUGCAGGUUGGUGAAUGCAUUAGGUCAGAAGAUGUUCUUCUUUCUCUGCGCAUUAGUUUGCUUCCUGUCUUAAGGAAAUUAUGAGUUAUUACUACUUGCAGAUUUGUAAUAACGUUUGAACACUCUUGGUAGAUUGGUGUUUGACUUGAAAUCCUGACGAAUGCAUUUUGCUUCUUUGUUCUGAUCCUUGCUUCCUAUUUGUCCAUGUCUCCUCCAAUUCUUGCAGGUUUAGAGUUUAAUCUUGCAUAACAUGUGUUGUCCAGCUUUAUGUUGGGAUGCUUCAAUUGCUUCUCUGCGUCUUUACUUUCCUUAUUUUGAUGUGUAUACCUCUUUGAUAUUUUUCUUAUAAGAUACGUGUAUUGUAUUGAUUGACGUGAGAAUGACACUCAUCGGCGUACCCACAUGGCGUGGACGGGACCCACCGUUGCCUGUUCACUCACAACAUGGGUUCUUUAAGUGAUUCCAGUAACCGGGUGUCCGUCAAAAGUCUUUCCUAUUCUGCUCACCUUCUCUUCCCCUUCGGAUUGGACACUGUUGUCGGGGCCCACUAGAGUUCUCCGCGCAACAAAACACAGAUCAUCUUCGGGAUCGGCUUUUGUUCACGACUGGUUUAUCUGACGCGACAUUGUACCAUCGUGUGGAUCUGGUGAAUGAACGGCUUUCAUGGACCUUCACGGUGGCCCCCGCUAUUUACUAUUUCAUCAGAACCGUCCAAUCCUAUACAUAUAGGGCCGACCACGUAUUUAUUUAUUUAAACCACUGGAUCGAGUUCCUCGCUCGCACAAACAUUUGAAGUAGCCGACGCGGUGGAAGCGAUUCGACACGGUCCCGGCCGACCCGAUCUCGCCGUCCCGGAAAGAUGAGAACCGCGAAGACCUCCGUUCCGAUCCGGCGACCUGCCGCCGUCUUCGUCCUCCUCCUCGCCGCCCUAGUCUUCGCCGCUAUCGUCGUCGCCAUUCAGUCCUCCUCUUUCUUUAUCGGUGAGCCGCCGCUGCGACGAGAAGUAAGGUGGAGCUCUAACCGCUCGAUCUCUUCUCGUUCUUGAUGUUCUACCUGUUUCUUGGUUUCCAGGAAGCCGUAAAUCGCUUAUUGACAGCGAGGAGAUUCGGAUCCUGUCAGAUUUCCAGUCCCGCGUUCAGCAAUGCGUGGUAUGCGCAUCUUGGUCUCUUCUCCGCUUCUCUUUGGUGGUGGAUUUGACAAAUGCCGUCUAUACUCAUGUCCAAUUGCAUCAUUGUCGUCAGGUGGUUUUAUAUAAGAUGGAAAUAGCAAAGAGUAUUUAAGUUCCCUUAGGGCUUAAAGAGUGUCAUUUUGUUCUAUUAGCUUUGGUUCUCAAUUUCUAGAGGAUUUGAAGUUUUGGGUGAACACCUCUUGCUUUCUUAAGAUUGCCUAAUUAUAAAUUAUUUAAUGUAGGGAGACCUCUUUAGCAUUUCAGUCGCCGGACUAGAAAAUUUAUUUUAAAAUCUUUAUAGCAAUGAAAGUAAAAUAUUUAAUCUUAUUUACUCUGAUGUCGUCAGCUUUACCGACGGAAGAUAUAGCACGUGACAGCAUGUGUAGGAACGAUACGAAAAUGAUGGACAGAUAACACAUAACUACUUGUUCAAGCUAAUUAAUAUACAUGCUUUAUAUAGAUGUUUCAAGCUAAUUACACAUAACUACUUGGUCAAUCUUUGAAGUUUAUUGGUUAGAUAUAUACAUUUAUUCUUAUCAAAAAGCAUCUGCAAUAGCAAAUUAAUAUACAUGUUUGAUUCUUUCUUGAAGUUGCUUAUAGCAUGUUGAUUAUAGUAAAUAAUGCUCUUUAGACAACAUUUGCUUGUUCGAAUAAUUAAGGAAUCAGCUUGUUAAGUCUAAACCCAAAAUGUUUAGACAUCAAUUAAUGGUAGAUCCAUCAUACUUUUAUAAGUCAAUCUAAGUCUUAAUCUACUUUCGAUGUGAGAGAAAACUGAGGUGUUAUUGUAACAUCCCAUUAGUCCCGGAUCGGAAGUNNNNNNNNNNNNNNNNNNNNCAAAAUGAAGUUAUUGGCCAGGCUCAUCAGACUCGGGUCGUAAUAUUUGGUAUUAGAGCCGACUUAGCAUUUGAGUAUGGUGAGGGGGCUCGAGUAGGAAAGGGCUACCCGUAGACGGAGUCAGAGGACUCGUCACGGCGUGGAGCCACCACUGGGCUACGCCUCACAUGCACCAUGCUAGGGUCUGAUCUGGAUUAUGUUUGGGCGUGAUUGUAACACCCCUGAUUAGUCCCACAUCGAAAGUGGGCAAGAUUAAGAUUGGCUUAUAAGGGUGAGUGUACUGCUAUCAACUUCAGCUUAAGCAUUUUGGUCAGUGGUUUAGACCAAACGAAGUUGAUAGGCUAGUUAGCCCAUCAGGCUCGGGUCAUAAUAGUUAUAAUCUUCCCGACUUAAUGACUUGACGUCCUCGUCAAGAUCCAAUAUAGCCCAGAAUUGGACCUUGACAUGGUGCACAUGAGACCUAACUUAGUGGUGGCUUUGUAUCGUGACUUGUUCUCUAUCUCAUCCACAAGUAGCACUUUCGUACUCGAGUCCCUCACUAUGCUUAGUACUGGUCAACCUUGAUAUGAUUUGUCACGAUGCAGCAUGAUGUAGUGAUUAACCCAUUAACUCGUUGAGUCAAGCCCAAAAUGUUUAAGUCCAAGCUGAUGGCUAUCAGGAUCUUAUAAGUCAAUCUAAGUCGUAGAGGUAAAGCUCUAUCGUUAAAAUUACUUUGAGUUUUGAAGCAAAUUAGAGAAUAAAUGAUUAUUUAGAUUAUCUUAGAAGAUAGAAUAUGCAUGAAAAUAUAAAAAAUGAAAACACGUAAGAAGAGAAGCAAAUAAAUUUUUAGCUUUUUAGAUAGGUUCACUUUUUCUUGGCUCUGAGUUGUGGACAUUUGUCUGUCCACUGAAGAUUUUUACUAAUGAAGAAUCAGGCUGAAGGAAACUGAAGUGUAAGUGAUAAAGACAACUUCCGUUUUAAUGAGCUUAGCAGCACCAAAAAGCCCUCUUAAGUAUGUGCAGGUAGAAGCCAUUUGUGUCAACAGUACUCCCGGUGGAACUAGUCAAUCUGGAGAAGGCUUCACAGCCUUGAGUUGAUGCAUUCUUUAAGGUAUAGCUUGAGCGCUCGGUUUCAAACAAGAUAAUUUCCUGAUGUUCGACAAACUGUUUUUCUUUUACAAACUACUGUUCAGAUUAAUAGAUCUGCCCCUGUACAUGGUUUACCUGGUCAUGAUGCACACUAGAUGGGCUGGGCCCUUGAAUGGAUCUGAUGUCCCUCAAGUUCUAUGACAUCUAGCAGCAAAAUCUAAGGGCAUGGUUCAGAGUUUAUAGUUGUGCCUGGAUGACCUAUGCAGUGUGCAUCACAAUGAAUCAAGAGAAAAGGCAGUAAUAAUUACUUUGCCCAGUGACCCAGUUACCUUAAGGUGUUUCUUUCUUGGGCUAUAUUCACCACUAGUUAUAGCUGCUUGACUUAAAAUAUCACUUUCGAUAUAUUGUUUUAGUUUCUACCGUCACAAAACAGUUGUCCAUGCACCAAAUGUACUAAAUGAAGAUUUUAAUGAUGAAGAAAUAAAGUUGUUUGAUUCCAAACUUGUUUCUGGAUAUUUAUUCGUAGCAAUACUAUGUUUUAGAAUUUUAAAUGUUUAUUUGUGUUGAAAGUUAAUCAUAAAGAUUAGUUAGCAUCUCGUAUUCUAAUCAACAUCUAGGAGUCUAGGAGGAUAAAAGCAAAUCUGAUUAUUGCAAAAUGUAAUACUUUUAUGCUCAUAAUGUAUCAAAUUGAUUGUCAUAUCCAUCAAUAAAUUUGCUUGUAUUGGUCAUCUACACCUUCACACAUAUGCAUCGACCUUUUUUACAUUCUAUUAUACAAUUAGAAUCUGUUCUUAUUUAACAUUGAAAUAUAUAAAUUCAGCCUGUUUUAGUUGGUACUGACCGUGGAACUUUCUCUAGGCAAGCAGAGGACUCGGCCUUACCGCAGACAUCAUUGACCACUGUAAAUUGGUCCUUAAAUUUCCUGAAGGCACAAAUAGUACAUGGGUCAAGCUCUACGAUCAACUUUUUCCAGGAUUAUAACAUGUCAUUUUCUUUCAUUUGUAUGAAAUAUACUUUCGUUAAAGAACCUGUCUCAGAUUCAACCUUAUUCUCUAUUUUUGCAGUAUAAUGCACAGUUUAAAAUUUUUGAGCCACUGGAGUAUAAAUAUGAUGUCUGUGAAGCCAUUCUUCUAUGGGAACAGGUUCGAUUCCUUUCAAUAAAUUAUCAAUUUGUUUUCUAUGUUAUGCACUAAAGACCAAAAUUUCGCCAGUAUCGUAACAUGACUACGGUCUUGACAAGGGAAUACCUAGAUGUACGACCAGAUGGAUGGUUAGAUUAUGCUGCAAAAAGAAUUGCACAGUUGUGAGUUACCAUGUGUGCAAGGCUUUCUUUUGUGAUUUAAUGCUCGAGGUGACUCAAUAAGAGCUUCUAUAUGUUAUCUUGUUUUUAGGGGUGCAGAUAAAUGUUAUAAUCGCUCUAUUUGUGAGGAGCAUCUAAACUUAAUAUUACCUGCAAAGCCUCCCUUCCAUCCCCAGCAGUUUCGGACAUGUGCAGUGGUUGGGAAUUCUGGGGAUCUCUUAAAAACAGAAUUUGGACUGGAGAUUGAUGGGCAUGAUGCAGUCUUUCGAGAUAAUGAGGCUCCUGUUAAUGAGGUAGAGUGUGUUGAUUAUUUUUGUUUGAUCUAUAUGUAUGACUGUAACUAUUUAUUUAUGUUUGAGGCUUAGCAAUUUCAGCUUCAUAUUUCUGAGAUUCUUUCUAUAUUUUCUUAUAUGUAUUCAGAAGAAAAGUAGUUUGAAAUUUCUGGUUUUAUCUGACACUUAAAUGAUAGUUUAUUGAAAUGACAGCUUCUUUAAGGACCUAACAACGCUUGGUUCCAGACUUUGUCUCCAAGGCCUGGUUCAAUAAUAUAGUUCAGCAUCCAAAAUAUACUGUUCACUUUCUGGCCUUGCUGGAGUUCUCAAUGCCAGUGUAUACAAGUGAUACAACUUAUCAGAGAAAUGCUAGAUUCAAGAUGCAUUAGUUUUCAAAAAAUUUUAAGAUGUGCCCAUACAUACAGACCUCAUACAUAUAUCUUGGUGGAUUCAAAGCAUCCUGUUUUCUUGUUUUUAUUGUGUCACAUAGAUGUUUUCUAAAUGUUUUUGUUGCUAAACAAAUCUCACAGGCAUUAUAUUGUUGUAAAACUGAAGAUACUCCCUUAUUGAUACCUAAGCCACCUUGUAUAUUGUUUGAUUGGCCUCCAUAACGCAAUUACUAUUAGCUACACUGCAUCACUUAGUAAUAAGCUUUUAUCUACAGUCCUGUUCACAUUGUCAGUUUCCUGGCGAUGUAGACACCAUCAUGUUAGGCAGAUCCAUCUGACUUGAUAUCUCCCAGAUUGAGCACUUCACCAGGCCUCAGAAGCAGAAGCUUACGAAUAGUUUGGAUCUACAUCCUGUGAUUACCAACUAAUCUUUAUUUGUCCUUCUGCAGAAAUAUGCCAAACAUGUUGGACUGAAAAGGGACUUUCGCCUAGUUGUAAGAGGCGCUGCUCGUAACAUGGUUGCUAUUCUCGAUGGAUCUUGUAAGAUUCUGGCUACAUAUACAAAAAUUACUGUCAUCAGAUGCAUUAACAUCUCUAAAGCUGCUAAUAAUUGUAUUUGAUAAAGCCUAGGCAUGUUAAUCACAAACAAUAUUGUUUUGUAAGAAUGUUAAGAUUUUUGCUCUAUGAAAAUCAUAUGUGCAAGUUAAAGUUCUUUAUGUUUUUAAUGCCACGUUGAAUUUGCCAAGUGUUUUUGUAGGUGAUGUCUGACUCUCUGCAAUGUAUCGCGUAAGGGCCUGAUUAAGCUUGAUAAGUUUUUGAUCAUAUUGCUCGUGAAAUUCUCAACUCUGAAUUUCGCAAAAUCUACAUCUUAGAGCAUCUGCAAGUAAUUUUGUUGCCAUUAUUGUACUUUGGUUCUAAUGAUAUGAAAAUUUAAUAAGAACAAAAAAUGUUCUGUUUUCAUACUGAUUUAGACAUACAGUGACCUUCUUCAGUGCAUAAAAGAAUAGCUGUCAAAGCAGAAUUUGGGUGCAUAUGGUGAUUCUUGAAUAUGUGAUCUGCACUUGGCGCACCAUCAGCUUACUGAAUAAGAAUGUGUUAACAGACAGGAGCUCAUGAUAGACUAUCUAGGGUCAAAUACAGUUCAAAUAUGGACAUAACUUGAGGAAAUGAAUUAUUAAUAUGUUUUUUUACUGUCCGUGGACAUAAGUUCAUUGGUCAAUAACAGGCCUGAGAUUAGAACCAAAAAACUUUGGACAAAUUUAGCAAAAUUAUGGAAUCAACUUGGUUAGAUGUUUAAUAAGAAAGAAGUAAAAAAAUGUAGAGAAGGCAUGAUUCUAUAUAUGCAAAACUGUAUGUGAAGGAAAAAGAAAUUUAAUGCUACUAAAAGAUUAGCAUAUAAUUUUGCAGCUUCCAAAAACUUCACAAAUAGUCCUAAAUGAUUCUAUGGAACCAAUUGUUAAAUUUAUGAGUAACACUGAAUAAUUAUCCAACAAUUUUGAAUUAUUCGACUUAAGAGUAUGGCGAAUUGUUCAGGGAAUUAUUUGAUAAGGUAGACCUAUAGUCAAAUUGCGAGCUUCUAAUAUUUCAGUGAAUAAUUUAUUUUCUACUUGGCUACAAUUGCCAUAUACUGUGGCAUUGUAAGUUGUUAUUGUUAUAUGUUUGUUGGCAUGCCGUUCCACUUAGUCCUUGGAUUCCUCUCUUAGGAUAGAAAAUUUUGACAGAUAUAUUAUUUAAGGCAUAUACAUUCAAGAAUUGGUCAUAUGCAAGUCUUGAUGUAUUACUUCUGUUCUCUAUGAAGUAUUUAUGGAUAUUAUCUUUUUAACGGUUCACAUGUUAAGUCUUAACAAAUCUUGAGAAGUCAUUAUUAUUCUCUUAGGUUAACGUAAAGUAAUUAUUUUGCAUCUGUAUAUGAAAAUUGCAGCUGAUGAGGUGCUUAUAAUCAAGAGCGUAACACACAGAGAUUUCAAUGCAAAGAUAAAGGUGAUCGUUUAAUGUCACCAGCCCUUAUUGUUAGUUGUUCUUGUGCACUAUGGUGGGCAUCUUUAGAAAUUUUAUUUAUAUACAAUAUAUUCUUUUUAUAGUAAAAUCUAAUAGGGUUGUAUUGCCUCCAAUGCAGGAACUUCCAAAUCCUGUUUAUCUUUUCCAAGGUAUCGUCUUAAGAAGGGGUGCUAAGGGAACCGGAAUGAAGUCCAUAGAAUUGGCUCUCUCCAUGUGUGACAUUGUUGAUAUAUAUGGUUUUACGGUGGAUCCCGGCUAUACAGAAUGGUCAGUAUAUUUCUAAGAGCGAAUGUCUACCUAAUUCAGUAUCACCAUGCAAAUCAACAACCAGCCAUGUUUUACCAUGUCUAUCAUAGUUCUACUAGGUUUAUUUUAAUUGGACCUCGUGUUUGUCUCUAUUUCUUAGACAUCCAUAAUUAUGUCCGUACAGAUUGGAAGGAAGAAUCUUUAAGAUAUCAUCGCACAUUGCUGAAAUUUCUGAUCACCGUAUCGUAAGUUUGAUUCUCGUACAAAAAUCAUUUUAUGCUUCAUAUUUGUUUCUUCUAGGACACGGUACUUCUCGACUCCCAGGAAGGGGCACAAUCCAUUGCAAGGAAGGGCUUAUUAUCAACUGCUGGAGUGCCUCGGUGUAAAGACCUCCGUGUGACACUCGAUUGGCCCGCGCAUAGUUUACUAACUUUCCACAUUGUUGUCCAUGUAGGUCAUCAGGAUCCAUUCUCCUAUGAGAGCUCGGAGGAAGCAGGAUUGGUCAGAUGUGCCAGGCAAAGAAAUCAUAACAAGUGCUCACAUGGCUGCGUUGCGUUUGAAAAGAGAAAAAACUGGCCAAGAAGGUGAUUUGGGACCCUUUGGUAAUUGCAAGGUAUGGGGUACGGUAGACCGAGAUGGACCAGUGUCAGGAUCUCCCGACAUGGCCGACGCUCGCAGCAAGUCAAAUUACAGUAAGUGGGAGCUCCUGCCACAUGAGAGCUUAAGAAAGGAAGCACAAAAACAUUAUGCCCAGAUGGGUCGCGUUUCUCUUUACAAAAUGGACGGGAACAAACUGGAUGAUCUCGUCUGUGUGAGGCACAGCUUUUAAUCUGAAGUUUAGAGAUAAAUAGGGGUUCUGGUUCAACUAUCGGUCCCAUGAAGAGAUAGACAGGGGAGCAAGUGGAAUGAAGCUGCAUUAGUGCUCGAGGAGGUUAGGUUAGAGAGCAGGCCUUGGUGCUCCGCAGGACGAAACUAUUAUUACAAAGCAAGAGUGGCUUCUGCUUUAUUGGAUGGAUUGAAUUGGGAGACUGCAGAACUUCUCCCUCGAGAAUAUUUACUCAAAGACAUUUCCAGGCAAUAUCGAUGCUUUCAUUCAUUUGUACCUGUCGUUUCAACUUUUCACUGGACCAUCACCUUGUUUUUCCUAUAGCAUCUUCUGGUGGUACCAAUCAUACAACGUUUGCUACAAAAGCAUUAAAUAGUAUAGCAAUUGUUUCUGUCAUUUCGGUAUUUAGAAUUUUUUUUUAUUUUCUGUUAUUUGGCCUUACUGUAGCUAGUUAUCUUUAAUAUUCUGAUUUUUACAUUUUAAAAAGUUACACUAGCUGAAACAUUUAAGUUUAUUUACUUUAAAGAUAUCAGUUUUAUCAACGAAAAUAAAGAUAAAAAUAUAAUUUUAAUGUUAUGAUGAUAAUAGACAAUGGUGCCACUAGUGUCAAUGCCGAUAUAGUUGUUGAGUAUUUCUUUCGUCGCUCUUUAUUUGUAUCGGCGUUUCGUCGUCAUGGAAUCAAAGUUCACUACCGAAGCUAUCGCGGAGAUCCGUCAUCUAUCAAAGUAAGAUCCGGAGAUGCAUGCCCUAUCGGAUGUUGUCGGCGGAUGUUGUCGGCGUCGUGCCCCUCCUUGUCACUCGCCUUCUCAACCACCACCACUCGUUCGUGGCCCAGGAGAAUAUUGUCGCUGCCCUCCUUAACUUGUUCAUCUCUGCUCGCGAGGUGCUCAUGUGCACCCCAAGCAUCCUCAACGCCCUUGUCGUUGCCCUUCGUCUCCUCCCCCAUCGAGGUCCAGCAUGCCACUGCAACCCUUUACAUUAGCGCCUUUGCCUUGCUCUUCCCCCUUGUGCUCACCCCACUGUCACUGCUAGCUAUAAUAGGAGGACUCGUUGCUCAAUUUUUACGUUGACAUCAGUCUCAUCUCCUUCUAUUGGAUUAUGAGUCUUUGGCCUAGCUCAACAGCUACCGACAUGUCGAUGGCAUAGAAUGAGCCCAAGUUUAUUUUUGAGCCAUGAGGGCUCUGGCUAAUGAUGACAGUGAGGUGAGCAUGAGGGGGAAGAGCAAAACGGAGGCGCUGCUGUAAAGGGUUGUUGGACGACGACAAGGGAGAGGAGGCGAAGGGCGAUGAUUAGGGUGUCGAGGAUGCCUGAUGUGCACCUGAGCGCCUCGCUAGUAGAGAUAGAGAGAUUGAGGAGGGCAACAAUGACAUUCUCUUAGGUCGUAGACAAGUGAUGGUGGUGGUGGUUGAGGAGGCAGGUGGUAAGGAGGGGCAUGACAUCGACGUUGACGAGGGAGGCUUACAUCUCUAUGUCUUACUUCGAUAAGCGACGGAUCCUCGCGAUGGCUUCGAUAGCGGACUUCGAUUCCGCAACGACAGAACGUCAACGUAGAUGCAGAGCGACGAAAAGGUUGCUUGACAAUCGUGUCAGCAUCAACGCUAGUGGCGCUACUGUCCGCCACCACCGAAACGUUAAAAUUAUAUUUUUACUCUUUAUUUUCGUAUUUUCAUUGGUAAAACUAACAUCGUAGAGUAAAUGAACCUAAGUAAUUUACUUUCGUAAUUAUAUUAAGGCCAAUGUAAUUUUUUAAAACAUAGAAACCAGAAUACUAAAGAAAGAUAACUAUAUAAGAUAAUCUAUAAUUAACCCUAUAACUACAUAGGAUAAUCUAUAAAUAAGAAAUAUGUAUGUCCAACUCUUGAGUUCCUGUACGUUGAUCUUCUUUGUUGUCGUCGACAGAUUGAUUACUUGUCUGCAGAACUGAAGGGAAACCACACCUGUGGAACAGUGAACUCAUUCGCAGUGUCAGCUGCAAUUAAUACAAAGGAAUUCUGCAAACAUGAAAUGCUGGUUCCGAAACACAAAUCAGUUCGCAUUGCUUGGUUGAAUUUUUGAGUUCCACAGUGUCGACGAGGAAAGCAGCAUAUAAAAUCAUGAAGCAGAAAUCUGGUGUCAAAAGGUAUAACAUAAAAUCCCCAAGUUUUUCGUGUAAAAUAAUGUCAUUCCAAACAGCAAUCCGCAAAUCAUCUCAACAUUCUGCCAGCAUACAAAUAUAUAUUAUGCUUACAAUUUGGCUACUAUAUUACAUCUACACAGAAUAAGGCAUAACAAGUUUGCUACAAAAGUGUGAUAUUUGUUAUUUAAGAUGACAAGUUCAUCAUCAACAAAUUUACAUAAUUGAAAGAAGUUAAGGGAAAAAAAGAACAGAAGCAAUCCUUUUGGAUCCAAAUAAAAGCGCUCCCAUCUCAACCUCUUUUUAAGUCCACCUCAGUGAGUGUACAUCAUGGGGUAAGCAAAGCAUUCAGCACAUCAUAUAUCUGCACAUAUUUACCAUUCCUGAAUGAUACCAACAAAGACAAAAUUUAAGUACAAAGUUGACAUAUAUCAACCUCUGAUGCUGUGCUAUACUUAGUUUAUCAAAUUUCUAGACGACACCUGAUGUCGUAAGCAUACAACUAAGAAAAAUAUGUCGAUCAACCAGAUGCAACCGAAGUAUUGUAGAUUAAGCAAUGGCUAUGCGUCUAGAGAUUACAAGUAGCGUUGUAUAUGUCAAUACAAAAAGAUGGGUGCUAAAAGUUCUAAUCUCUGAUCGUUAACAUGCAAUCCAAGACAGACUGUAGAUUCACUGAAACCUCAGCAAACAAACUGGAGAUUGGAUUUAAAUGGCAUGUUUUAGAAACUCAUUCCAGGUUUACCAUAAUGAUCCUUACAAAUGGAACCUGAUAUGGCCAACAUUUGAGGCCAAUUGAGAUACGCAACGCAAAUCCCAAUCAGCUGGACCCUCCCUGUCAGCAUAAGCCGGAGAGAAUAUUAUUCCUCAAUAUUUCUUGUUCCAAGAAAAUUCUCCUCUACUCUAUAAAUAGGAGUUCAUUUUUUAUCCUAGCAUAAGACCUCGAGAUGAAUUGAAUGUCGAAGGAGCAUCCACCUCCUCAAACUCCAUGAAGGACUCGUGUAAGGUAAGUCAUCCUAAAGGAGAAUCCACCUCCUCAAACUCCAGUUCUCAGUAUGUGACAGCCUUCCGGAAGUGGACCAGGUCGCGCAACUCAAUGAUGUUGAUCGAUGACUAAUUUUGUCACCAACAGUUUGGGCCCUAAAAACAGUGUCACAUAAAACCGAGAUCAAGAACUCCCUCGAGAACAUGUCAAUGAGAAGUCUCCUCAUCAGACCCUUGUGAUGAUGACCAGCAUUGUCUUAGGGGCAACAUAUGCUCGAGGCUGGACCUCGCUUGAAGGUCCAAGGACACACACAUCCACUUGCCCAAGUCGACAAGAUGAUUGUUGUCCAGUUGACCGCAUUAAAGAUGGUCAUCAUCCAAUCGGUCGCUUCGUCAAGUUGAUCAUCCUGAAUUUUGAUGCCAUAAUGUCAAGGCAACCACAUCAAAAUCAAGUUGGUCACAUCAUCAUGUUGCUCCUGCCUUCACAUUAGUGAUCCCAUCAAGAUGGCCAUCAUCGGGUUGGUCACAAUAUCAAGCCACACAUCUCGGUUCUAAGCAAGUCAGCAGGUUGCCUAACUUGCAUUUAGUUGCAUGACAAAGAAGGCAAGACAUUUGCGGAGAAGAUGCCAAAAUCGGGGAGUUCCCCACUUGCCAUCGACUUGCUCCCAACUUUACCAUGUCGUGAAGCACGCUCCCUACCUACUGACGACUACACCCUUGAGUCAAUUGUGCUAUCAAUAUAAUUGCUUCCUCAAGAGUCAAGAUGACCUCAAGCCGACCAUGACAUCAAGUUAAUCAUGCUUCGAUCAUGUCCUAAAGUCGAUCGUUGUGUCUGCAAGUUGAUCACGAACUCAUGGAAAUUGCAUUUUCACACUGGCCACGUCCUUAAGUCAUACAUACCCUCAAAUAGGUCGUGCACUCGAGAUGGUCACACUAUCAAGAUGGUUGCAUCUCCAAGUCAACUCCUUGUUCAAAAUGACUGCACCCUCAAGUCAGUUGUCCUCAAGUCAACCGAGCUCCCACGUCGAUCAUCCUUAGUUCAGACACCGUCACAUUUGUUGUGCCUUCAAGUUGGUCCUCCUUAUGUCAAUGGCAACCUAAUAGUAGACCUCUAGUAGCAUUUUUCUUCCUCCCCCAUGGCGAUAUACCAAUACUACAACAAUCCUAUAGAUUAUUCAAAUUGUUCUAGACUGAGAUUAAAUCCUUGGUCCAAUAAUAGCCUUGGACAUCUAUCCUCUAAUUUUUCCUCCUAGGCAACAGGACCCUAGUAAACACUUGG
Molecule: long non-coding RNA, 43814 nt
Filed under: Musa acuminata (dwarf banana)
Lineage: Eukaryota; Viridiplantae; Streptophyta; Magnoliopsida; Zingiberales; Musaceae
Description: long non-coding RNA (MACU_LNC001637)
Source: RNAcentral